GUCCACGUGGUGGAAUUGGUAGACACGCCACUUUGAGGGGGUGGUGCUGCGAGGCGUGCAAGUUCAAGUCUUGUCGUGGACA
RNAcentral lists this transfer RNA (82 nucleotides) under Bacteroidales bacterium. RNAcentral's name for it is "tRNA-Leu". It matches the Rfam family "tRNA". Rfam says of the family: Transfer RNA (tRNA) molecules are approximately 80 nucleotides in length. Lineage: Bacteria; Pseudomonadati; Bacteroidota; Bacteroidia; Bacteroidales. The record is from RNAcentral.